RNAcentral lists this long non-coding RNA (546 nucleotides) under Marmota monax (woodchuck). The record is from RNAcentral. Lineage: Eukaryota; Metazoa; Chordata; Mammalia; Rodentia; Sciuridae.
GUUCACUUAUCUUUUUAAUAUAUCAUGUUAAAGAGAUGUCAAGGUCACGGCCUUCUCCCUUGAAAUUUGAUAAUGGGCAGAACAUAUGCUUUGGAUGGGGCACCAUUAAUUUUCAUUUUAAAUAAUGUAGAACCAGAAAGAUUUUAUGAAAAUCUAAAAAUAAAUGCUUGUAGCCAUGGGAGGCACUAAUUUCCCCUCUCAAAUGUAACAGAGGACGUAACUUAGGAAGGCUUCUUUCAGUGCAUUUUACAGAGGACUAUUGUCUGGUGGAGUAUAGUGGUCAGAGCUGGAUGUCUCUUCUCAAGCAACCAGAAAUUGCACUAAGAGACCCAAUUUUCCCCCUUCCCUUCUCCUCCCAGAAGCCCGUGCACCUACUCCCUACAUCUGUGCAGAGAGAGGCACCUACCUGGAUGGAUGGACGCAAGGCACUUGGUGCACCUGAGAACAACCUGCCUAAUUUUAAGAAAAGGGUGCUGUGAGCUCAUCUCUCUGCAGCCUGUCAUUUUAGCAUCCUUAGUAAGGUGACAGGAUCCCUAUGGGGAGCUC